GUCUUAUUAGUAUAAAUUAGUACCUCUGACUUCCAAUUAGAUAGUUCACAUUUAUGUGGAUGAGGCAC
Molecule: transfer RNA, 68 nt
Filed under: Ophiarachnella infernalis
Lineage: Eukaryota; Metazoa; Echinodermata; Ophiuroidea; Amphilepidida; Ophiodermatidae
Description: tRNA-Gly
Source: RNAcentral